UGGCUCAGAACGAACGCUGGCGGCAGGCCUAACACAUGCAAGUCGAGCGCGCCCUUCGGGGUGAGCGGCGGACGGGUUAGUAACGCGUGGGAACGUACCCUUUGGUAGGGAAUAGCCACUGGAAACGGUGAGUAAUACCCUAUGAGCCCUUCGGGGGAAAGAUUUAUCGCCAAAGGAUCGGCCCGCGUUAGAUUAGGUAGUUGGUGGGGUAAUGGCCUACCAAGCCUACGAUCUAUAGCUGGUUUUAGAGGAUGAUCAGCAACACUGGGACUGAGACACGGCCCAGACUCCUACGGGAGGCAGCAGUGGGGAAUCUUGGACAAUGGGGGCAACCCUGAAUCCAGCCAUGCCGCGUGAGUGAAGAAGGCCUUAGGGUCGUAAAGCUCUUUCGCCUGUGAAGAUAAUGACGGUAGCAGGUAAAGAAACCCCGGCUAACUCCGUGCCAGCAGCCGC
Molecule: ribosomal RNA, 453 nt
Filed under: uncultured bacterium
Lineage: Bacteria
Description: bacterial SSU rRNA
Rfam family: Bacterial small subunit ribosomal RNA
Source: RNAcentral